This 507-nucleotide unclassified non-coding RNA is filed under the name Hevea brasiliensis (rubber tree). The record is from RNAcentral. Lineage: Eukaryota; Viridiplantae; Streptophyta; Magnoliopsida; Malpighiales; Euphorbiaceae.
CCUAGUACCAUUUGCAAAGUAAAGGUAACAAGAAGCUAAAAUAUCACAACCUAAAAUCUAAAAACAAGGCUAGCCUUCAUAUUCCCCUUCAGCAAAUUUGUCCUCUGGGUAGAAGACAGCAACAACCUGAUUGCCGCCAAAUUUCCUACCAUGCAAACCCAGCCUUGCUUUGUUAGAACCAUCAGUGUCAUCAUACUCCAGGAAUACCUUCCCAACACCAGGACCCAUCUCCCCAUUCGGGCCCGGCCGAGGGAUGAUGACAUUCACAAGAUUGCCAUAUUUUCCGCCUUCAGUCCUCAUGUCUUCCAAUAUAUCUUCAUAGUCCUCAUCCUCUUUCAGUUCCUCAGGAUUCACCACCUGGGUCAAGCAUAACACCUUCGUGGGAAGGGGUCCGGUAAGGGUUGGAAGGGAUCCUGCUUGGUACACCAGCCUCUGUAAUGCCACUUGCUGUUGGGCCUGCAAUAGUACAUUCUCCUGUUCUGGUCUAGGCUGGGUAGUGCCCUGAUU